Molecule: long non-coding RNA, 598 nt
Organism: Helianthus annuus (common sunflower)
Lineage: Eukaryota; Viridiplantae; Streptophyta; Magnoliopsida; Asterales; Asteraceae
Exons: 3
Source: RefSeq, a predicted model, not a curated record
UUACGAUCUGAUGGCAGGAAUCGUUGAUCACGAAUACAAGCCUUCGGAUUCCUCUCUGCGGUUUUAAUUCUGUAACUUCUCCUUCAAUCAGUGAGUGUUUCAGUCAACCGACAUUACGAUCUGGUGACAGGAAUCGACGAUCGCAAUGACUUUUCUUGGUGAACCCUAGCACCACCAACACCAAAAUUGGGAUGAAUUACUUGGGGCCUCAGGGAGUAUUUUCGCAGUGCGAAUACGGACAUUUGUGAAAUUAGUGAAGGGCGAUUAGAUUAUAUCCGCAGCUAAAAAAUUGGAUGGUUUAAUUGUUGCUACAGUAGCUGCAAACUUGCAGACGUGAGUUCUGAUCUUAUGGUGAUAAUUUAAUUGUUGCAGAGAAUUCUUCGGGCUUUUGAAAGCAUAGAAAGCAUAGAAUUUACUCUGAAAAUUGUGCACUUGACAACAUUAUGACGUUCGACUAAAUAGAUAGCUGCAACAAUUGUAUAUCUUGCCAGUUGGAUGCUAGGUCAGUCGUGCUACCUUGGGGAGUUUUCUGUAAUUUUUCAACCCAAAAUGAACAGGCUGGUUCAUGGGUCAAAAUGGAUAAAGCAUGCCGGUUGAU